RNAcentral lists this ribosomal RNA (774 nucleotides) under uncultured Neocallimastigales. Its description in RNAcentral is "partial large subunit ribosomal RNA". It matches the Rfam family "Eukaryotic large subunit ribosomal RNA", at positions 24 to 633 of the family's 3401-position model. The record is from RNAcentral. Lineage: Eukaryota; Fungi; Neocallimastigomycota; Neocallimastigomycetes; Neocallimastigales.
UAUGUGAUCGUCUCUCGCAUAUCAAUAAGCGGAGGAAAAGAAACUGACAAGGAUUCCCCUAGUAACGGCGAGUGAGGCGGGAAGAGCUCAAAUUUGAAAUCUUAAAGGGUUUCCCUUUACGAAUUGUAGUUUAAAGAAGUGUUUUCUGUUGAGGUUUUGGUAAAAGUUCUUUGGAAUAGGACAUCAUAGAGGGUGAGAAUCCCGUAUUUGACCUUUACUUUCAACUUUGUGAUACACUUUCAAAGAGUCGGAUUGUUUGGGAAUGCAGUCCAAAAUGGGUGGUAAAUUUCAUCUAAAGCUAAAUAUUGGCGAGAGACCGAUAGCGAACAAGUACCGUGAGGGAAAGAUGAAAAGAACUUUGAAAAGAGAGUUAAACAGUACGUGAAAUUGUCAAAAGGGAAGCGUUUGACACCAGUGUUGUUUUUCUGAAAAUCAAUUAAAGAACUGUUUAUGCUAAGCUGUUUAGACUUUAUCAGCUAUCUGUUUAGUUUUGAGCUUUUCUUUAAUGCACUUUUCAGUUAACAAGUCAACAUCAAUUUCUUUUGCUGUAAAAAAGCUUGAGGAAGGUGGCUUGAGAUUCGUCUUAAGUGUUUAUAGCCUCUUGCCUAUGCAGUCGGAGAGAUUGAGGUCUGCAGCGUAGAUCCUUCGGGGCUAAAUGCAUUUGUGCUAAGUUAUAGCAUUUUAUAGACAACUUGUUGACUAUGAUUUGUCUUGUAGCUUACUCGCUUAUGUUAUUUUACCUACGCUUAGGAUGUUGAAGACUCUACAGAGAUA